This 160-nucleotide ribosomal RNA is filed under the name Eutrema renifolium. RNAcentral describes it as "5.8S ribosomal RNA". It matches the Rfam family "5.8S ribosomal RNA". Rfam says of the family: 5.8S ribosomal RNA (5.8S rRNA) is a component of the large subunit of the eukaryotic ribosome. It is transcribed by RNA polymerase I as part of the 45S precursor that also contains 18S and 28S rRNA. The record is from RNAcentral. Lineage: Eukaryota; Viridiplantae; Streptophyta; Magnoliopsida; Brassicales; Brassicaceae.
AACGACUCUCGGCAACGGAUAUCUCGGCUCUCGCAUCGAUGAAGAACGUAGCGAAAUGCGAUACUUGGUGUGAAUUGCAGAAUCCCGUGAACCAUCGAGUCUUUGAACGCAAGUUGCGCCCCAAGCUUUCUGGCCGAGGGCACGUCUGCCUGGGUGUCAC